UUUAGAGAAAAAUCUUCCCUGGGGAAAAUUGGUUCCUGGAGGACCUUUGAACAUGUGACCUGUUGUGCAAUCAGUUUGCUUCUGGAAAAGGUGUCAUUCCAAAUGGAAGCUCAGAAUCAUGGGGAUGCUUGGGAACCUGAGUCGGACACCUGCAAAUCAAUCACAUAGCUGGUGGGAGUCACGCUCCCAGUUAACAUGAGCCACCUUUAUGCAUCUGGGAAAAAAGAAACAGACCUCUUCUGUACAGCUGGACCUACAUCCUUGCUUUUGUGGUAGUUGUUCUGGUUUGGAUAUGUUAAUUUUGAAAUAAGAGGUGGAAUUUGCUGGUUGCUGCACGUGGUCAGUGGGACAUUAGCUGUGAUUUCAGAUUUUGUUUUCCAAAGGAAGGCAGGAGCCUGCAUACAGGAUUUGACUCCACUUCUGCUGAAACCAUAGGAGAAGACAGAGACCACCAUGAAGGACAGCUGGCAAAACCCCCACAACCAACAACACACCACAAAGCCCAUGGGAGCCAUUAGCCGCAUGGAGGAAAGGUCAAUUAAGGCUU
Long non-coding RNA from Aquila chrysaetos chrysaetos, 547 nucleotides. RefSeq lists it as uncharacterized. The transcript is spliced from 3 exons. The record is from RefSeq and is a predicted model, not a curated record. Lineage: Eukaryota; Metazoa; Chordata; Aves; Accipitriformes; Accipitridae.